Molecule: long non-coding RNA, 841 nt
Filed under: Chrysemys picta bellii (western painted turtle)
Lineage: Eukaryota; Metazoa; Chordata; Testudines; Emydidae
Description: lncRNA (ENSCPBG00000019951.1)
Source: RNAcentral
UCCUGUCGGGUUUUCGUUGUUGCUUUAAUGAUAUAAAGAUCUCUGAGGAGGAAAGAUGGGUAGUUAAUAUAUACAUUUAACUUAUUUCAUGUGUUAUUUUGGAUUCGUUUGCCUUGCCUAUCGAGCCUGAGAGUGGCCGUGCUGCUGGCAAACAGAAACUGGGAGCCAACGACCACUUAUCUUCCGCCUGGUGGCAGUGUAGAAGCCAAGAACAAAAACUGACAGAAGUUACUAUUCUCUAUAAGAAAAUGAAGAGAGUGAACACAUGACUAAUCACAGGAACCUGAAAAACCACAGGAAUGAAAUGCUGAUAGCUCCUUACUUUGGAGAGUGACUGAAAGAAAACAGAUCAUUCAUACAGUAUACAACAAAGGCAUUUUAUAAUCUGAUUUGUCUACCUGUGAUGAAGAAUUUUAGUUAAUGGAAGCUGCAGCAGUCUGUCACCAGGAAAUAUACUGCUUUAUUCAGAAUGGGUCCCAGGAGGUGUUGCGGAAGGGCAAAGGAGGCUGGACAUCUCCUCUACACUCUCACAACUCCUGCAGUUCCUAGGGCUAGGCAACUUUUCCAACUCGCCUCCAUGUGCAAUGACUUCCAAGGGGUAGCUGUGGCAGCUGGGGACUGCUGGAGCACACUGCACUCUGACCAUGCCUUCCUCCCCUUACAAAUCUACUGCGGUAUGGUACGGAGCCAGCAAUGCCAGUUCUACACCCCCUGGAAUUCUCCUACACCAGAGCUUGAAGGCUCUUUUGUGCUGCUAGAAAAACCUAAAGCAGCCUUAUCAGGGCUGAGCAGCCACCCCCUUGUCUUCGUCCUCACCUGCAAAGCAUCUAGCCUGCUAUGA